RNAcentral lists this ribosomal RNA (253 nucleotides) under uncultured bacterium. Its description in RNAcentral is "partial 16S ribosomal RNA". It matches the Rfam family "Bacterial small subunit ribosomal RNA", at positions 524 to 776 of the family's 1533-position model. The record is from RNAcentral.
UACGUAGGGUGCAAGCGUUGUCCGGAAUUAUUGGGCGUAAAGAGCUCGUAGGCGGUCAGUCGCGUCUGCUGUGAAAACUCGGGGCUUAACCCCGGGCCUGCAGUGGGUACGGGCUGACUAGAGUGCGGUAGGGGAGACUGGAAUUCCUGGUGUAGCGGUGAAAUGCGCAGAUAUCAGGAGGAACACCGGUGGCGAAGGCGGGUCUCUGGGCAGUAACUGACGCUGAGGAGCGAAAGCGUGGGGAGCGAACAGG